GACGAACGCUGGCGGCGUGCUUAACACAUGCAAGUCGAACGGAAAGGCCCUGCUUUUGUGGGGUGCUCGAGUGGCGAACGGGUGAGUAACACGUGAGUAACCUGCCCUUGACUUUGUGAUAACUUCAGGAAACUGGGGCUCAUACCGGAUAGGAGCUCCUGCUGCAUGGUGGGGGUUGGAAAGUUUCGGCGGUUGGGGAUGGACUCGCGGCUUAUGAGCUUGUUGGUGGAGUAGUGGCUUACCAAGGCUUUGACGGGUAGCCGGCCUGAGAGGGGGACCGGCCACAUUGGGACUGAGAGACGGCCCAGACUCCUACGGGAGGCAGCAGUGGGGAAUAUUGCACAAUGGGCGGAAGCCUGAUGCAGCAACGCCGCGUGCGGGAUGACGGCCUUCGGGUUGUAAACCGCUUUCGCCUGUGACGAAGCGUGAGUGACGGUAAUGGGUAAAGAAGCACCGGCUAACUACGUG
Molecule: ribosomal RNA, 468 nt
Filed under: uncultured bacterium
Lineage: Bacteria
Description: partial 16S ribosomal RNA
Rfam family: Bacterial small subunit ribosomal RNA
Source: RNAcentral